RNAcentral lists this ribosomal RNA (437 nucleotides) under uncultured Actinomycetales bacterium. Its description in RNAcentral is "bacterial SSU rRNA". It matches the Rfam family "Bacterial small subunit ribosomal RNA", at positions 342 to 791 of the family's 1533-position model. Lineage: Bacteria; Bacillati; Actinomycetota; Actinomycetes; Actinomycetales. The record is from RNAcentral.
CGGGUUGCAGCAGUGGGGAAUAUUGCGCAAUGGGCGAAAGCCUGACGCAGCGACGCCGCGUGAGGGAUGAAGGCCUUCGGGUUGUAAACCUCUUUCAGCAGGGACGAAGCGAAAGUGACGGUACCUGCAGAAGAAGCACCGGCUAACUACGUGCCAGCAGCCGCGGUAAUACGUAGGGUGCAAGCGUUGUCCGGAUUUAUUGGGCGUAAAGAGCUCGUAGGCGGUCUGUCGCGUCGGAUGUGAAAACCCAGGGCUCAACCCUGGGCCUGCAUUCGAUACGGGCAGACUUGAGUGUUGCAGGGGAGACUGGAAUUCCUGGUGUAGCGGUGAAAUGCGCAGAUAUCAGGAGGAACACCGGUGGCGAAGGCGGGUCUCUGGGCAACAACUGACGCUGAGGAGCGAAAGCGUGGGGAGCGAACAGGAUUAGAUACCCGAGU